This 497-nucleotide ribosomal RNA is filed under the name uncultured bacterium. RNAcentral's name for it is "partial 16S ribosomal RNA". It matches the Rfam family "Bacterial small subunit ribosomal RNA", at positions 28 to 507 of the family's 1533-position model. The record is from RNAcentral.
GAUGAACGCUGGCGGCGUGCCUAAUACAUGCAAGUCGAGCGAACGGACGAGAAGCUUGCUUCUCUGAUGUUAGCGGCGGACGGGUGAGUAACACGUGGAUAACCUACCUAUAAGACUGGGAUAACUUCGGGAAACCGGAGCUAAUACCGGAUAAUAUUUUGAACCGCAUGGUUCAAAAGUGAAAGACGGUCUUGCUGUCACUUAUAGAUGGAUCCGCGCUGCAUUAGCUAGUUGGUAAGGUAACGGCUUACCAAGGCAACGAUGCAUAGCCGACCUGAGAGGGGGGUCGGCCACACUUGAACCUAAGAACCGUCCAGGCCCCUACGGGAGGGCGCAGUAGGGGAUCUUCCGGAAUUGGGGGAAACCUUGCGGAGGAAACGCGCGGGGGGUGAUGAAGGUCUCGGAUCGUAAAACUCUGUUAUUAGGGAAGAACAUAUGUGUAAGUAACUGUGCACAUCUUGACGGUACCUAAUCAGAAAGCCACGGCUAACUACGUG